RNAcentral lists this ribosomal RNA (437 nucleotides) under uncultured bacterium. RNAcentral's name for it is "bacterial SSU rRNA". It matches the Rfam family "Bacterial small subunit ribosomal RNA", at positions 8 to 444 of the family's 1533-position model. The record is from RNAcentral.
AGAGUUUGAUCCUGGCUCAGGAUGAACGCUAGCGAUAGGCUUAACACAUGCAAGUCGAGGGGCAGCACGUCUUCGGAUGGUGGCGACCGGCGCACGGGUGAGUAACACGUAUGCAACCUACCCAUAACAGGGGGAUAGCUCACUGAAAGGUGAAUUAAUACCGCAUAACACAGGGAUGCCGCAUGGCAAUAUUUGUUAAAGAAAUUCGGUUAUGGAUGGGCAUGCGUUCCAUUAGGUAGUUGGUGAGGGUAACGGCCCACCAAGCCAUCGAUGGAUAGGGGAACUGAGAGGUUUAUCCCCCACACUGGUACUGAGACACGGACCAGACUCCUACGGGAGGCAGCAGUGAGGAAUAUUGGUCAAUGGGCGAGAGCCUGAACCAGCCAAGUCGCGUGAAGGAUGACGGUAUUAUGUAUUGUAAACUUCUUUUUAUAGGG